UACGUAGGGUCCGAGCGUUGUCCGGAAUUAUUGGGCGUAAAGGGCUCGUAGGCGGUUCGUCACGUCGGGAGUGAAAACUCGGAGCUUAACUCCGAGCCUGCUUCCGAUACGGGCAGACUAGAGGUAGGCAGGGGAGAGCGGAACUCCUGGUGUAGCGGUGGAAUGCGCAGAUAUCAGGAAGAACACCGGUGGCGAAGGCGGGACUCUGGGCCGAUACUGACGCUGAGGAGCGAAAGCGUGGGGAGCAAACAGG
RNAcentral lists this ribosomal RNA (253 nucleotides) under uncultured bacterium. Its description in RNAcentral is "partial 16S ribosomal RNA". It matches the Rfam family "Bacterial small subunit ribosomal RNA", at positions 524 to 776 of the family's 1533-position model. The record is from RNAcentral.